Papaver somniferum (opium poppy) is the source of this 562-nucleotide long non-coding RNA. RefSeq lists it as uncharacterized. NCBI's taxonomy places the organism in Eukaryota, Viridiplantae, Streptophyta, Magnoliopsida, Ranunculales, Papaveraceae. The record is from RefSeq and is a predicted model, not a curated record. The transcript is spliced from 3 exons.
CCGUAUUCGUUCUUUUUAUUUCGUGAAAUAUCGGAUAUAUCAAAAUCGUGAGCUAGAAACCAAAAUUCAUCAGGCAAAAGAGCAGAUAAAAAUUUUGGACCAAACUUGCACACUGAUUCGCGGAACAAUAGAACAAAAAAAGCUUAAUGAUGAUGAGAAUAGAGCAGAGUUGAGGUGGCAGUUGUUUGAUUUAGCUCGUGAAGAAGACAGAUACAAGAAUGUCAUAAAUGAGAAAAGGACUAAAAAAACUACAAACAGCAGGCUGAUAUUGGGGAACUCCGGGCCAGAUUCGAUACAAGCCGGGAGAAGGGUGAUGAUAGAUGCUCAUCGGAGAGAGAGCUUAAUCACCGUGUCCUUAGGUUGCAUUUUCGGACACGAUGUGCAAAAAACACGUUCACUGAGGAGAAACAGCUUCUUAAAAAGAUUAAACAGCUUGAAGAGACUAGACAGGAAAUUGUUGUCAGUGAUGCCUUGAAACAGAAACGUUUUAAUGAUUCAAUGGAGUGGGUUAACCGCCCAAUCUAUCCUGACCGGUAUAGUUGUAAUUCUUUCCCGUAAACAA